CUGCCUCUCUUUCAGUUGAAGACAACAACAAUGAAUCAAUAGGCAACCACCUUCAACCCAUCCAUCUCUCCCUCUCUUUCGCGUCACAUAGCAGGUAGCAGAAGCAACGACCAGCGUCUCCCAGCGAUGGUAAAGUAGCGACAGCGACGAAACGGCAGAGUUCCUACAACGGCUGUGGUUGGCGUGGCUGGUUCCUCUCUUCCGGCGACCUUCACCUCCCCUUCUCUAGCGAGGGAACAGCUAAGGUGAAGCUUCAGGCAGCAUGGCCUGGUCUCCGACGAGAAAGACCCGUAGGUGAGCUUCUUGUCGACGGCGGCGGUGCAGUAAAGACCCUAUCUUCUGGCGUCGAGUUUCAGCGGCAAAGCAGGGCAGUGGUUGGUCAUCUUCUUCCCGGCAAAGCUUUGGUGAGGUUGGAGAUGGUGUCAGUUCUGGCUGUACAAAGAAGGAGAUGAAGGUUUCCUUUUCAAGUAGUCAGCUUUGGAGUUGAGUCAAGGACCAAGUGUUUGGCAUUUGGAGCAAGUUUAAGGUGGGUCCAGCGUUGAGAGAUGAUCGAGUUAGAUUAGUCUAGUAGACCUAGUAGUCUGGACUCUCUUUAUUAUCAUGAUGUUUAGUUUUAUGGAUUUGUAGACUUUGAUAUUUUGUUCGAUGUUAGA
Long non-coding RNA from Ipomoea nil (Japanese morning glory), 653 nucleotides. RefSeq lists it as uncharacterized. NCBI's taxonomy places the organism in Eukaryota, Viridiplantae, Streptophyta, Magnoliopsida, Solanales, Convolvulaceae. The transcript has 3 exons. The record is from RefSeq and is a predicted model, not a curated record.